AAUGUGGCAUACGGAGUCCAAAAUGCCUUCCUCAAUGACUUUAUAUACAAGACCAUUUCUAUUCUGGACCUCCCAGAAACUGAUAUUAUCUCCUAUUUCCCAGAAUGUUUUGAGUUUAUUGAGAAAGCCAAGAUCCAGAAUCUUCACUGAAGAACUCCAGAGUAUGCAAGAAGCGUGCGACUGAAACUACAGGAUGUUCUAAAAUCUGCCUCUGUGCCUAGCUGUUUGCUGCCUUGCUAUGUUUUUAACCUGGUAACAAGAUACAGUCAAGUUCCUUUCCAUAUUGUAAAUAAAAUCUAUUUUAAAAUUGGCAUCCAGUUAGAUUAGAUAUCUUUGUAUCCCGGACGUCUGUUGAUGUGGUUUUUACAUGAGGGGGCUGCUGCAAGGUCUUGGGGAAGGGACAAAGGAAUGUUUUUUAGUUCUAAGGUAUGAAUUAUGUUUGAAGUAUUUGAUAAUUAUAAAGUGGCUUUGGUUAGAAAAAUAUUUUAAUUUUGGGCUUCUAUAUCUGUGUUUGGAGUUACUCGUAUGUGUAAAUAUUUGCUUUGAGCUCAGCAAGGAGCUUUUAAUAAGUCUUAAUAGAUUUUUAUAUAAAGUUUCUAUUACUUGUUGCUAUCUACCUAAUGAAUAUCCCAACUUAUGU
Egretta garzetta (little egret) is the source of this 640-nucleotide long non-coding RNA. RefSeq lists it as uncharacterized. The record is from RefSeq and is a predicted model, not a curated record. The transcript is spliced from 2 exons. Lineage: Eukaryota; Metazoa; Chordata; Aves; Pelecaniformes; Ardeidae.